AAAAAACUUUAAUUGAAGAGUUUGAUCAUGGCUCAGAUUGAACGCUGGCGGCAGGCUUAACACAUGCAAGUCGAGCGGUAACAGAGAGAAGCUUGCUUCUCUGCUGACGAGCGGCGGACGGGUGAGUAAUGCUUGGGUAUCUGCCUUGUGGUGGGGGACAACAGUUGGAAACGACUGCUAAUACCGCAUAAUCUCUACGGAGCAAAGUGGGGGACCUUCGGGCCUCACGCCACAAGAUGAACCCAAGUGGGAUUAGCUAGUUGGUAAGGUAACGGCUUACCAAGGCGACGAUCCCUAGCUGGUCUGAGAGGAUGACCAGCCACACUGGAACUGAGACACGGUCCAGACUCCUACGGGAGGCAGCAGUGGGGAAUAUUGCACAAUGGGCGCAAGCCUGAUGCAGCCAUGCCGCGUGUGUGAAGAAGGCCUUCGGGUUGUAAAGCACUUUCAGUCGUGAGGAAAGGUAACGUGUUAAUAGCACGUUGCUGUGACGUUAGCGACAGAAGAAGCACCGGCUAACUCCGUGCCAGCAGCCGCGGUAAUACGGAGGGUGCGAGCGUUAAUCGGAAUUACUGGGCGUAAAGCGCGUGUAGGUGGCUUGUUAAGCCAGAUGUGAAAGCCCCGGGCUCAACCUGGGAACUGCAUUUGGAACUGGCAGGCUAGAGUUUUGUAGAGGGUGGUAGAAUUUCAGGUGUAGCGGUGAAAUGCGUAGAGAUCUGAAGGAAUACCGGUGGCGAAGGCGACCACCUGGCCAAUAACUGACACUGAGACGCGAAGGCGUGGGUAGCAAACGGGAUUAGAUACCCCGGUAGUCCACGCAGUAAACGAUGUCUAUUAGGAGUUUGUGGCUAUAUGCCGUGGGCUCCAAAGCUAACGCAUUAAAUAGACCGCCUGGGGAGUACGGCCGCAAGGUUAAAACUCAAAUGAAUUGACGGGGGCCCGCACAAGCGGUGGAGCAUGUGGUUUAAUUCGAUGCAACGCGAAGAACCUUACCUACUCUUGACAUCCACGGAAUUUAGCAGAGAUGCUUUAGUGCCUUCGGGAACCGUGAGACAGGUGCUGCAUGGCUGUCGUCAGCUCGUGUUGUGAAAUGUUGGGUUAAGUCCCGCAACGAGCGCAACCCCUAUCCUUAGUUGCCAGCACGUCAUGGUGGGAACUCUAGGGAGACUGCCGGUGAUAAACCGGAGGAAGGUGGGGACGACGUCAAGUCAUCAUGGCCCUUACGAGUAGGGCUACACACGUGCUACAAUGGCGGAUACAAAGGGCAGCUAACUUGCGAGAGUGUGCGAAUCCCAAAAAGUCCGUCGUAGUCCGGAUUGGAGUCUGCAACUCGACUCCAUGAAGUCGGAAUCGCUAGUAAUCGUGGAUCAGAAUGCCGCGGUGAAUACGUUCCCGGGCCUUGUACACACCGCCCGUCACACCAUGGGAGUGGGCUGCAAAAGAAGUAGGUAGUUUAACCUUCGGGAGGACGCUUACCACUUUGUGGUUCAUGACUGGGGUGAAGUCGUAACAAGGUAGCCCUAGGGGAACCUGGGGCUGGAUCACCUCCUUACCAAAAGCGACGUUGUCUUGUUGACGAGAGUCA
RNAcentral lists this ribosomal RNA (1585 nucleotides) under Motilimonas cestriensis. Its description in RNAcentral is "bacterial SSU rRNA". It matches the Rfam family "Bacterial small subunit ribosomal RNA". The record is from RNAcentral. Lineage: Bacteria; Pseudomonadati; Pseudomonadota; Gammaproteobacteria; Alteromonadales.